Molecule: non-coding RNA, 115 nt
Organism: Triticum aestivum (bread wheat)
Lineage: Eukaryota; Viridiplantae; Streptophyta; Magnoliopsida; Poales; Poaceae
Source: Rfam
CAAGUACUCCCUCCGUCCGGAAUUACUUGUCAUCAAAAUGGAUGUGUCUAGAACUAAAAUACAUCUAGAUACAUCCAUUUCAAUGACAAGUAUUUUCGGACAAAGGGAGUACAAG